This 624-nucleotide ribosomal RNA is filed under the name Triticum aestivum (bread wheat). Its description in RNAcentral is "partial small subunit ribosomal RNA". Lineage: Eukaryota; Viridiplantae; Streptophyta; Magnoliopsida; Poales; Poaceae. The record is from RNAcentral.
AUGGACCUCCACCUCCCCAUAGUCCACCCAGGCGCGGUGCCGGCGGGCAACGUCGAGAUGGGCCACCAAGCGCAAGCAGCAGCCGUGAACCCGCCGCCACCAGCGGCUCACGGCCAGCCGGCCGUGAACCAGCAGCAGCUCGGCGGGCAGGGACCGAACACCUGGGUCGGCAACGACGCCAACACGCUGCUGGUGGUGGCCACGCUGAUCACCACGCUAACCUACCAGCUCGGCACCAACAUCCCCGGCGGGUACUGGCAGGAGACAAAGUCGCUGGACGGCAGGGAGCUGUACCGCGCCGGCGACCCCAUUAUGCGCGACCUGCACCGCCCAAGGUACUGGCUGUUCAUGGCGGCGAGCUGGGUUGGGUUCGCGAGCUCGAUGGUGAUGACGCUGAGCCUGCUGGUGCGGAUGUCGGCGGACUCGCGGCACGUGCGGUGGUCGUUCGUGGUGGCCUACUCCAGCCUCGUGCUCACCUUCGUCGUGUCGCAGCCCAGGACGCACCUGUCGAUGGACAUCCUCGUCUGGGCGGGCGUCCUCGCCUUCCUCUGGCUCGUCAUCAGCGUCCACCCGGAGCACCGCACGCGCAUCGUCCAGGCACUCUGCUGCAGCCAUCGCAACUAG